GCAUCCGUGGCCGAGUGGCUGAAGGCAACGGACUCAUAAUCCGUUUUCUUUUUAAGACAUCACUGGUUCGAAUCCAGUCGGAUGCA
Molecule: transfer RNA, 86 nt
Filed under: Chattonella marina
Lineage: Eukaryota; Raphidophyceae; Chattonellales; Chattonellaceae
Description: tRNA-Met
Rfam family: tRNA
About the family: Transfer RNA (tRNA) molecules are approximately 80 nucleotides in length.
Source: RNAcentral